Molecule: ribosomal RNA, 465 nt
Filed under: uncultured Klebsiella sp.
Lineage: Bacteria; Pseudomonadati; Pseudomonadota; Gammaproteobacteria; Enterobacterales; Enterobacteriaceae
Description: bacterial SSU rRNA
Rfam family: Bacterial small subunit ribosomal RNA
Source: RNAcentral
CCUACGGGGGGCUGCAGUGGGGAAUAUUGCACAAUGGGCGCAAGCCUGAUGCUGCCAUGCCGCGUGUGUGAAGAAGGCCUUCGGGUUGUAAAGCACUUUCAGCGGGGAGGAAGGCGGUGAGGUUAAUAACCUCAUCGAUUGACGUUACCCGCAGAAGAAGCACCGGCUAACUCCGUGCCAGCAGCCGCGGUAAUACGGAGGGUGCAAGCGUUAAUCGGAAUUACUGGGCGUAAAGCGCACGCAGGCGGUCUGUCAAGUCGGAUGUGAAAUCCCCGGGCUCAACAUGGGAACUGCAUUCGAAACUGGCAGGCUAGAGUCUUGUAGAGGGGGGUAGAAUUCCAGGUGUAGCGGUGAAAUGCGUAGAGAUCUGGAAGAGUACCGGUGGCGAAGGCGGCCCCCUGGACAAAGACUGACGCUCAGGUGCGAAAGCGUGGGGAGCAAACAGGAUUAGAUACCCUAGUAGUC